UUUGUCCUACGGGACGCAGCAGUGGGGAAUAUUGCACAAUGGGGGAAACCCUGAUGCAGCAACGCCGCGUGAGUGAAGAAGUAUUUCGGUAUGUAAAGCUCUAUCAGCAGGGAAGAAGAUGACGGUACCUGAUUAAGAAGCCCCGGCUAACUACGUGCCAGCAGCCGCGGUAAUACGUAGGGGGCAAGCGUUAUCCGGAUUUACUGGGUGUAAAGGGAGCGCAGACGGCAGUGCAAGUCUGGAGUGAAAGCCCGGGGCUCAACCCCGGAACUGCUCUGGUACCUGU
RNAcentral lists this ribosomal RNA (286 nucleotides) under uncultured bacterium. RNAcentral describes it as "partial 16S ribosomal RNA". It matches the Rfam family "Bacterial small subunit ribosomal RNA", at positions 333 to 636 of the family's 1533-position model. The record is from RNAcentral.